RNAcentral lists this unclassified non-coding RNA (760 nucleotides) under Hevea brasiliensis (rubber tree). Lineage: Eukaryota; Viridiplantae; Streptophyta; Magnoliopsida; Malpighiales; Euphorbiaceae. The record is from RNAcentral.
GUAAAUUUGUAUUUGCUCGGGUCUAUCCCAAACUGAGACAAAUCUAUCUGUCCUGUCCGAAGAACGUAAGUAAACGAAUCUACUUGUUGACGGAAAGGUGGGCUUUGUAACAGCUCCAAUAUAUCCUCAGGAGACCAUGGACCCUCAGGUAAAUACGAUACUAAACUCUGUUCCAAUGGUAACGUUUCCAGCAAUGGCAUUAUCAGAUCAGGCUUCAAUAAAUCUCCUAAUCCAAAACCUGCAUCUGGAUCAACAUCAAUAUCAGACGGCUCGAUGUUACUUAAAAUUCUUUGCAGGUCUUCCAACUUCACUGGUCGUAGUGAGGAGCUCGAUGGGAUAUUUUCUUCGACUGUGCCUUCUGAAACUUGUAGAGGAGUGGAAGCAACAGGCUGUUCUUCUUCCUCAAGGAACUCCAGUGGCCGGUUAAUGUAGUCAUUAACAGAGAUGCACAACUGCUGGUCAUCUUCAGCUUUGGGCUCCUGCAUCCAAAAGAAGAACUUCCUGUCAUCUGUUUUAAACUUCAAUAAGUAAACUCUUCCUGACGCUUGAUUAACCUUCUCAAAAACUGCUUCAUCAGGAAAAACAAUCUGAUCAUCUUCAAUGACAUUUUGUAUCCGAUCAAGCCAUUGAAUGUGCAGCAAUCCCUCCUCACCCCUUCCAAUACGAACAAGACCUUUACGUGUAUCAGGUACGACCCUUUUUCCUUCAAAACACAUUUUUCCAGCACGAAAUUCCAGAAGUAUUUCCUGCAUUACCGGAG